Molecule: long non-coding RNA, 1031 nt
Organism: Pezoporus occidentalis (night parrot)
Lineage: Eukaryota; Metazoa; Chordata; Aves; Psittaciformes; Psittacidae
Exons: 4
Source: RefSeq, a predicted model, not a curated record
UUCUGCUGCUCAUUGAAAGCAAACGUCUCUCCCUUUGUUACUUUCUUUUUGCUAAUUUGAAGUUCAUUUUGGUGUAUGUAGAGGAAAGUCUUGUUCCACAACAUGAGGUAGAUUGAAGAUGUGCAGAAUAAGUAUAGGGGUUUUGUCCUGCUCAUCCUAAAAGGAAAACAGAAAAGCUAAUAAAUCUGUAAAGGAGAGAAGUGGUACUAGUGGGUGUAUUUCUGUCAGUAUUAUGUUGCAUGGAGGCUAAAACCGUUUCUAUGAGAAAUCUUCAGUGCUUUCCUCUUGUAGCAAACAAGCAAAGUGACAGCCUGUGAAACACAAGGUACUGUUUGCUUUAAUUAGGGUUUAUCUCCCAUUAUACCUUAGUUGAGAACAAGAUGGCAUGGGCAGAGAUGCAGAGGGUUUCCUCAUGUAUCUAAAAUGAGAUUUGUGGUUUUCUUUUUGCUUGCUCUUCCUCACAGAUUUUGGAUCUAUUAAAUAGAUUCACAAGGCGCUAUUAGUGCUCUGCUCUGUGGGCAUCUACGAAUCCUGCAGCUGCUCCACUAGCUGUACGUUGUCUUUCUCCCAGUUAAUCUAAGCUGUGCAGACAAGCCAUAUCAAUCAAACCAUGCUCUUAAAUUGAGCUGCUUCCAGCCACAUGGAAAAGCCCAGGCCCUGCUGUCAGUUGAGCUGGCCAUGAAUCGCGGUUCACACCAUCCAACGUGUGGCCCUCUUCUCACAUAGGAUAACAAGCUGAGGUGAAGACAGCAAGCACCCAAGGGCAGCAGCAGCCUGAGGUGGCUCCUGCUGUGACAGCAAAGGCAACUGCUGAUGGCUGUUGCUGGAUACAAAACUCUGACAGCCCUUGAUCUGAACAGGCUAGUGAGUUGUAACCAGCAGUUUCUGGAGGGUUUUCACAGAAAGUAUAGGCUUUCUUAUGGGGUGUUUACAUCACUCAGUGUAAAAACAUACAGAGACAUUCAACAUAGCAAUACCACACAGCUGCACCAUGGAGAGACUUUAGCUUGGUCCAGAAAGCAGCAAAAUCU